This 253-nucleotide ribosomal RNA is filed under the name uncultured bacterium. RNAcentral's name for it is "partial 16S ribosomal RNA". It matches the Rfam family "Bacterial small subunit ribosomal RNA", at positions 524 to 776 of the family's 1533-position model. The record is from RNAcentral.
UACGAAGGGGGCUAGCGUUGCUCGGAAUCACUGGGCGUAAAGCGCACGUAGGCGGAUUGUUAAGUCAGGGGUGAAAUCCUGGAGCUCAACUCCAGAACUGCCUUUGAUACUGGCGAUCUUGAGUCCGGGAGAGGUGAGUGGAACUCCGAGUGUAGAGGUGAAAUUCGUAGAUAUUGGGAAGAACACCGGUGGCGAAGGCGGCGACCUGGUCCUUGACUGACGCUGAGGCGCGAAAGCGUGGGGAGCAAACAGG